Molecule: long non-coding RNA, 1151 nt
Filed under: Pogona vitticeps (central bearded dragon)
Lineage: Eukaryota; Metazoa; Chordata; Lepidosauria; Squamata; Agamidae
Description: lncRNA (ENSPVIG00000019495.1)
Source: RNAcentral
AUGAAAUGUUCCACUUUAUUAUCCAACCUCAAGUCAAGUUUAGGAGAAUUAGAUGUACGCAUGGGGUACAAUCUCUGUCGAGUUGAAUGGGACUUUCUCCAUAAGAGGAAGGAUGUGGUUGCCAAAGCUUUAGAAAAUGUUCUUCUGCUGGAUCAGGAACUGGAGAAACAUGAGGUUUGUAGGCUUUAUAUUAUCACCUAAAGUAGGCGAGAGGAAUUCUUUGAAUGUCUAUGUAAAACUGCUCAUGUUGCUGCAGGUACUUACAAUUGGACAAUCUCAGACAAUUGAGUAUAACUUUCCAACGAGUCUGCUUUAUUAAAAGGAAUCAUCAACAAGUCCGAGAGAAACAUUGUGUAAGGAAAACAAAAUACUGUAGAUACUGUAUGGAAGUGUCACAAGGGUGUAGAGGGAAUAGGAUGACUCCCAACAAAGCACAGGCAUGUCCUGUAGUAGUCAGGAAAUGUGACUUUGCCAAGAAAGAGAAGAAAGCAACAUAUUUGUGAUACCCCCAAGCCUUUCUCAUCUGGGUUGCCACCUUAUAGUAGUAGGCAGGGCUCCUGUUGACAAAUUUGUCCUUGCUGCUACUCAAACAGGCACCCAAUACACACCUUUACAGUGUUGUCCAACCACUUGUGAAUCUUGACUGCCUUCUUCACCUUCCUUUUUACUCUCAGAAUUUUACUUUGGCCUUCUGACUGUAACCAUUUAGCAAUCCUGCCACAACCGAUUCCCAAACUGGAAGACUUCUAAUAGUUACGCUCGCUUUUCCUUCUACUCCCCCUUUGUUGACCUAUGGCCAGGCAGCAAGAAUGUGUUUAUUGCUUGAUAACUGCUACUAGGAAAUAGAAGUUUGUUGGACCAAAAAAAGAAAAAAAAAGAAAAAGAAAAAAGAGGAUGUUUCAUUUUAUACAGUGGUGACUCGACUUACAGAAUUAAUCCGUAUUGGAAUGGUGGCUGCAAUUCAGAAUUGACUUACAGAAUUAAUCCAUAUUGGAAUGGUGGCUGCAACUCAGAAUUUUCAUAAGUCCAAGCACCGUUUCCCAUAGGAAUGCAUUGAAAACCAAUUAAUCCCUUCCGGCUGAAGAAAAAAAAAUACUAAAUAGAGAGAGAAAGAAAAUAAACAGAGCAAGUACCAUGCUGGGACUGGAAAA